Molecule: ribosomal RNA, 504 nt
Filed under: uncultured bacterium
Lineage: Bacteria
Description: bacterial SSU rRNA
Rfam family: Bacterial small subunit ribosomal RNA
Source: RNAcentral
AGUGGCGUACGGGUGAGUAACACGUGGAUCAUCUACCCUCUAGUGGGGGAUAACCCUGGGAAACCGGGGCUAAUACCGCAUAAGCUCGAGAGAGGAAAGCAGCAAUGCGCUGGAGGAGGAGUCCGCGGCCGAUUAGCUAGUUGGUAGGGUAAAAGCCUACCAAGGCUACGAUCGGUAGCCGGCCUGCGAGGGCACACGGCCACACUGGCACUGAAACACGGGCCAGACUCCUACGGGAGGCAGCAGUGGGGAAUCUUGCACAAUGGGGGCAACCCUGAUGCAGCGACGCCGCGUGAGCGAUGAAGCCCUUCGGGGUGUAAAGCUCUUUCGGCAGGAAAGAUGAUGACGGUACCUGCAGAAGCAGCUGCGGCUAACUACGUGCCAGCAGCCGCGGUAAUACGUAGGCAGCAAGCGUUGUUCGGAGUUACUGGGCGUAAAGGGUGUGUAGGCGGUCCUCUAAGUCUGGUGUGAAAUCUCCCGGCUCAACUGGGAGGGUGCGCCGGA